GACAUAGGUGGCAAACGUUAUCCGGAAUUAUUGGGCGUAAAGGGUGCGUAGGUGGUUUAAUAAGUUAUUGGUGGGAAAACGGGGCUCAACUCCGUGGAAGCUAGUAAUACUAUUAGACUAGAGGACCGGAGAGGUUAACGGAAUGGCUCGUGUAGGGGUAAAAUCCGUAAAUACGAGUUGGAACACCAAAAGGCGAAGGCAGUUAACUAUUCGGUUCCUGACAUUGAGACGCGAAAGCGUGGGGAGCGAACAGG
This 254-nucleotide ribosomal RNA is filed under the name uncultured bacterium. RNAcentral's name for it is "partial 16S ribosomal RNA". It matches the Rfam family "Bacterial small subunit ribosomal RNA", at positions 524 to 776 of the family's 1533-position model. The record is from RNAcentral.